GUUGAUGGUUCGCAGUGUGUGCGAAGAAGAGGUGCAGACACUAUCACGGUCGUAAACGCGCUCGCGAUAUUUAUGGUUCAAGCGGACAAAUUCUCGAAAAUCGUACGAAAAUUCCACCUGACGUGGUUGGGAAAUAAAAUUUAUCGCUUCGCAAUAGAACUUCAUUCGAUUGAUUGGCUUCUGCGUGAUCGUGACGCGGUAGAUCGUGAUCGUGAUCAUUUCGCCGAUAAUUGCCGUUCAUUGUGACAACACACUGGAAUCGGUUUCGGUUUGCGAUUAAGAACAUUCGAAGGUUCAUGUGGAUGCUUGAACACGGCAUCGAACACACACGGUUCGCGUUGAUUUCCUCGCGGAGAGUCGCGGAAGAGAGUGAGAGAUUCGCGUAUGAGUGAGAGGCCAAAGGCCAAGACGGCGGCGCGAAGGGUCCAGGCACCAAUAGAGCGGGACGGCGACAGUGGGCAAUACAGAGAGCUUCGGGGCUUUAAUGUAUAUAAAAUAUAAAAUAAACACACAAGGAAUAUCAUUUUUCCUCUUGUAUUGCUUGUUAUAUGCGAAACUUUUGUAUUGUGUCAUAAACGAACUACUUGUCAUAACGUAAACAACUUCGGACUUCUACGAUCGAAUUUUUAUUAUUAUAAUAUUAAUAACAGUAAAAAUAAAAAACAACCAAGAGAGGAAAACUCAAAAUAAUAUCUAUAAAAAUAAAGCAGUAAUAAAAAUCAACAUUAGUUCAAAGAUAAAAGAUGAAUAAAACAAUUUGAUAGAGAAUCAAAGGAGGCUUUGCAAAAACACAACAAAUAAUAAAGAAGCCACGAUUGCUUUGUUUUCAUUUUUUUUUCGUGCGGCGGUGAAACUUUGUACUUCGUGUAGUGCCACGAGACGAAAUGCUGCAGGAAGAAAGAAAAUCGCCGACAGUUUGAACUUCUUUGAAUCCUCGACGUACGUGACGAGUGCUGCUCCCGACGACGAUAGGUGAUCGUCAAUCUGAUGACCUGUUAUGCCGCGUGCAACUGAGCUAAGGACGUCGCUGUUUUAAGAGCUACUGGGCAAUUAAAGUCCGACUAAAGUGGCGAGAGUGAAUCAACAACUGUGGCUAACGGUGGUUAAACUGAGUACACAGGUCAACUUGUUUGUGAUUUGAAAUUGUGAUAAGAAAUUCAAGUGAUAAGGCAACGGAAUCGUUGAAAAAGCAUUUGCCAGUGAUGAUAAUUAGAUGAAAUGAUCAGAAUGGGUCUAUUAAGGUGGUAAAGUAGCAAUCAUUUUGAGCAGAUUGAUUGCUCAAAGUUUUGAACAAAGUGAACUAAUCUACACAGUGGCAUUGAGCGUUGAAUGUCACAGACCCCAAACUCUGAAGGUAGUCCAUUAACCACAGGUAGUGAAGGUAGUCCGAAUUCUCCACCGACCAGCAAAAUGUAUCCGUUCGUUUCCAAUCACCCGUCGUCGCACACCAGCUACUCAACGAUGCCAGGCUUCUCCGGCCUAGACGACAAAUCGUGCAGUAGAUACACCGAUAGCGUUAUGAAUAGUUACCCACCGAUGGGAGUUCCCGGCAGCGCCAGUAUUGCACAGUUCUACCAGCAAGCUGCCGCCGUAUCGGCGGCGUCCGCCGGCGUCGGUGUAGAUUCCCUCGGAUCCGCAUGUUCACAGCUAUCGUCGUCCGUCGGCGGUGGCCAGUCAGGCCUCCCAGACAUUACCCGCCAUCCCUGGCUAGUGACCGAUUGGAUGAGUAAUCCCUUCGAUCGAGUAGUGUGCGGAGAUUUUGCAGGCCCGAACGGAUGCCCCCGCCGACGAGGCCGGCAGACGUACACCCGCUUCCAGACGCUCGAGCUGGAGAAGGAGUUCCACUUCAACCACUACCUGACCCGCCGGCGGAGGAUCGAAAUCGCCCACGCGCUGUGCUUGACCGAGCGGCAGAUCAAAAUUUGGUUCCAGAAUCGCCGGAUGAAGUUGAAGAAGGAGCUGCGGGCGGUGAAGGAAAUCAACGAACAGGCGCGGCGCGAGCGUGAAGAGCAGGACAAAAUGAAGAACGACUCGCUCAAAUCCGCCCAGCAACACCACAGUCAGAAGCAGCAGGAGCAAACGAUUGUCGGCUCGCAGCAGUCCAGCGGUGGUGGCGCUGGCGGUGGCGGCGGCGGUGGCAGCGGUGGAAGCUCCAGCCUUGGCAGCCACCUGCACCAUCCGUCGAUAGUGGCCCAGAACGACUUGAAGCUCGGCCUCGGCAGCAUGGGCGUCGGAGUCGGCGUUGGCGUCGGAGGGAAUCUCAGCAUGAUGGGAGGUCUGGAUAAUAAAACCAAUCAGGAUAUACUGAAAGCCGUUAGUAGAGUUCAUUCUUAAAGCAUAGUUUUCGGAUUUUUCGGAUUCCCUCACUCUCGCGUCGUUCUCUUGUCCUCGAGUUUCUUUUUAUGUUCACGAAACUUGACUGAGUUGUGCGCUCCGAUGGAUGACAAGAGAAUGCGUUAUCGUUGCUUUGUACUUUUCUAUCGCCACAAGUCAUGCUUUCAAGUUUCGCGAUUGAUAAACUUUCUUCUUUGCAUGGAAUACAGUUUCGUUAUUUUCAGUAUAAUUUAGAAUGUAAUGACAACAGUCUUUCAAGUUUUUGCCGUUUACUCUUAAUAAUAGUUUCAUUCAUUUUGAAAGUAGUUUUUUCCAGUUCCCACUUAUCGCUUCAGAGUGUAACAUUUUGUUCGAUUGAAAGUUUCAUUCAAAAUUCUAAACACAACCAAUGUCUCUUUUUAUCUUCCUUCCGCUGAAUCGAAUUUCUAGGUGAUGCAACAUAACAAAAGCGCAAACCUGAGUACUAGAGACGUCGUUGGUUCAAUUUAACCAAGUACGUAAAUAAGCCACAGCAAACCCACUCAACACAAACAGUACACAAAAAAACACCGACAUACGUAAUUUUCACACAAGCUAAAAAUGAAAGGAAUUAACAGUCGACGAGAAGCAGAUGAUCGCACUACCGCAUUCAGUUCAUCUCUGCCGGAAGGAUCAACUAAACAAAAUCUAAAGGACUUCGUCGAACGGAACGAGAGGAAUCAGCUGAGUCAAAAGAAGCAGCGAUGAACCCGAUGGUGAUCGAUUGCCGGGAUAGAUCUAUUUUACCCAGAACUUCAUAGCAGAGUGUGAUUUAGUUUACAAAUAAUCAUUAUAUUUGAUAACUUAAAAAAAACUUCGAAUGAGAACGAUUUAUAAAACUAAGUCACACUCUUGUGAUCAAGACCUUGUUGUAAACUACAGAAUGUGAAAUUUCUACAAAACAAGUAAAAGUAAUAACAAAUAUACGUACUAGUGCUAAGAAACUAUUUUUCUAUAGAACUUAAACAUGAUUUGCAAUCAUCUAUUUGGCGAUUUUACGUUGCGCGGAAGAGGCGAAUAAAAAUCUGUUGUGAAAUUUUCGAAUAUCACAAACUCAAACUCCUCGGUUUGAAUCGAGCGGGCCCGGUCUUGCACGAUCGGGUCCAGCGCGACAGAGCAAAUCAUGAAACAAAAACUGUGUUAGGUAAAGAUUAGUUAUAUUUAAAAUGUGGUCGUACUCAUUAACUAUAGCGUUUCGUUUUUGGUAAGGUUUUAAAAUCUCUACGGUCCAGAACCGUGUCGAAAUACGUAAUUACAAUUAUUGAAUACAACCAGAGUUAAACUGAAACUAAACAAAACAAGCAGAAAUAAUCGCAAAUCUGUCCAGUGGUUAGAGAUAGUUAUUUUAGAAAUAGUGAAACAUUUAUAAAUUCAGAACGCUGAAUUGCAGAACUGUGUCCCAUCGGCAAACCUAAGCUCGAUGACAACCCCGAUCCCGUAAAAGAGUUUUAGUUUCUUUUGUUGAUUUUCACUCGUGUAAAUUUGUUACUAUUUUGUAUUAACAAGACUUAGACCGUAGUUUUAGUUAGAGAGAUGAUACAUAUUAAAUAAAUUUCUAAUUUGUAACACAAAUCUUUUGUUUUUCAUUGAUUGAUUGUUUGCUAAUAGUAGCGAUCUGAGGAGCUGACCUGAAAUUUGAACUUUUGUCUUCCAGUCGACGGCACAUUUCGAUUCGAUUUAUCUUCAUUUAGUGAAGUCAACAACCGAGCCUCUGUCGGCAACCUUCGUACUUUACGUACCACUUUAUUUCACAUAUCAAAUGACCUAUUUUACGUUCGCCCUUGUUGUGUUGUUUCGCACUUCAGUUCCUCAGAUCAAAUUUGUUUAUAUUUAUGCUCUUUUUACUUAUCUGUUAGUACACUUCCCACUGUUUCAACGAGAAACACUGAGUUUGAAGAACCACAUGCUAUACCAUUACCUCCAAGCAGCAGCGAAGCACAAGCGAAACGGUUUUCUGUACAACUGAAAGCAAAAACUCAGUUUCACCAAAACACUUUUCCCAAGGAGCCCAUGUAAAUAUCGCUUUAGAUCCCACAUUGUCACUAAACAAAAAGGAAGAAAAUGAAAUACGUAAUCAUAGUCAGGGUAGAUUAGAACACAAGCAAAACAAGCUAUUUAUAUGAAACAAAAAGAGUUCAUUCCAUCGUCUAAUCAGUGUUUGUUUGACGCUACUCACAAAUACGGAGUAAAGAGUCUUGCCAUAGAAAUCAAACAAAUUCAGUGUUUUGAUCUCAACUCGACGGAAGCAAAAUAGAAGAAACAAUUUUCUUGAUAACUUAGUCAAAAAAUCUCGAGAACGUAAAACUCAACAAUUAAAUACGUAAUCAUUGGUGAAUAUAAAAAUGCAUUUUAAAUACAGCUAGUAAUUCAUACAGAAAUUGUAAAUUAUAACAUUUAAUACUGAUAUUAAUAUAACGCUAACUGCAGCAACUAGUGGUUAUGCCCGUACAUGUUUAUGUGAAUAAUAAAGAAAAUAAAAAAAGCAGUAAGCUACUUCCGCCAAUGGUAAGCUUUGGAGGACGAGCCAUAGUGAAAAACGAAUUGAGUGAUUAACCUCUCUGACUUGCUACUUGCACUACCGGAGGGCAAUUUGUGUAAGGCAUAUGCAAACAAUCGGGUCAAGUUUUAUUUUUUCAAAUUCAAUCCAGUCGAAAAUAAACAAACACACAAAUACUCAUUAUCGAAGUCGUUGUGUAAGCAAAUUGAGACAAAUUUAAAGAAAAAAAUGUCAUAAGGCAAUACAUUUAAAUAUGCAAAAUAGGUGUUUCGGCAACUUUGAGCCAAUGCAAACGACUUAACUAAAGAACUAAAGCAAAAGAAGAAGAUAGAGAGGUCGACAAGAAUAAGAAUGCUCGAUAUUUAUUUAUUACAAAUACCAACAACUAAGAAAUAGACGAUCGCUAAGCGCUGUAGCGCUGUUCGUGUACCGUGGCAACCGAUUGUCCGUAGCAAUAGAACAGAGAGCAGAAUGACAUAUUAAUAUGAAUUAUGGAAAUAAAAACAAGUGAAUAAAAUAAA
This is an RNA transcript of Armigeres subalbatus, 5370 nucleotides long. It is a transcript of the gene named homeobox protein abdominal-A homolog, with no coding region annotated. Lineage: Eukaryota; Metazoa; Arthropoda; Insecta; Diptera; Culicidae. The record is from RefSeq and is a predicted model, not a curated record. The transcript has 7 exons.